GUCCCCUCGUAUUCUUUGGUAGCGAAUAGCUGUGAGCUAUAAAAAAAUUCAUGCAGUUUCAUAGGAGCUCACAAGCAACCAAUGAAAAACCAACACGUCGCCGCGUCCGAUUAACAAAAGAUUCCUUCCAAAAAUCAGGAGGUAGAGAAAUGAAAUGCUAGCAUCGAUCUCAGUCCGGUUUAGCCAUUCUUACAGAAAGCUGUGGUCGGUGUGAUUAGAAAACCUAUAGAAGCGAUUGUGAACAAAGGAAAGAAUUGUAAGCGAGCACGUGAAGUAGUCACUAAGUUGUAAAGGUCGUCGCUCGCAGUAUUCCGUUAGGAAAAUAUACUAUUUUCGGUUAUAUGAACGAUUAAAAAACCGUUAAUCAGAUUCCUUCAAACGAAGGUCGCCGGGUCGGGCUUAAGCCCUAGAACGCCCUCCGGCAAGAACACCGACACACCAACCGGAGAGAACUACAGGGGCGCAAUCCCGUCAUAUAAUAGCGCCCGGGUCCAACAUCGUGAAAUCCAACCUCGAAAUAGUUCCCGUGAUAUAGAUCGGUCUGAAACCCGUCCAUUUGUCAUCCGGACACUAGACCAGGAGCGAACAAGCAGUGAGAAGUAUUUCCCCGUUAUCGCUACCACCGGCGGAUAAUUUCCACUCCAGGUGAGACCAAAGCACACGAGGUGAUUUCCCAUCGACCCCAUCAAGCUGGUUGUCGUACAGUAUCACGGCCAAGUACGGUAAUUCAGGCCGAGAAAACCACCCGCUGCCAGCAUACACCUAGUGGGGUGGAAAAGCGUGCCAAGAAGCUUUUGGCGUUAAAUUCAUCGGGUCGCAUCGUACCGGUACGCAACGUCAUCGUCAGCAUCUUCCCAGCCGCCCGUUUCUUCGAUCGUAUGACGUCACACUGCAACCUAAGACCAGGUGAUGUACUAGAUUAAGAGUCUAAUAGGAAUAAAUGCCUUAUGCAAGAUCGAAG
This is a long non-coding RNA of Armigeres subalbatus, 961 nucleotides long. RefSeq lists it as uncharacterized. The record is from RefSeq and is a predicted model, not a curated record. NCBI's taxonomy places the organism in Eukaryota, Metazoa, Arthropoda, Insecta, Diptera, Culicidae. The transcript is spliced from 3 exons.